Long non-coding RNA from Malaclemys terrapin pileata, 4135 nucleotides. RefSeq lists it as uncharacterized. Lineage: Eukaryota; Metazoa; Chordata; Testudines; Emydidae. The transcript is spliced from 2 exons. The record is from RefSeq and is a predicted model, not a curated record.
GGUCGGUUUUAUCUCCACACUCCGCCUCGGUUCAGCGAGCGGGGGGCGGGGAGUCCUCUUGCCCAAGCGCCCCGGAGCCCGGCCGCCACCUCUCCCGCGCGCUCCCCAGCCGGCCGCUCGGGACGCCGCCGCCGCCGCGCAGAAAACAAAUAACAAAGGGAAGCGACCUCCGCUACACACUGGGCGGCAAAGUCACUUAGUCCAGAAUCAGAGUGACCUGACCACGCUGAGAGUUACACCAGUGUUGAUGAUAAUGGAACCAGACUCCCAUCAUGCUUUGAGCUAGGCCAAAGGAGAAGGGGGAAAAUACUUUCUGAAAAAGCAAUGUUGCAAUGGCAAUUUCUAUAUAAGGAAUGAAAUUAUGCUAAAAGACUACAAAACCAGUUCUCACUAGCAGACGCAUAAGAAGUGUACUUUACUUUUAUUUCUGUAAUUACAAACAUAAUUGAAUACAGUGUUUGUGUAACUAAUAUAAGAAAGUAGCUAGUACUAAAGUGAAAUAUAUGUAGAGUGCUUUGUAUGCAUGCUUAAAUGUAUCACUUUGGAGUGCGUUGAAGAUGAAUGCUUUAAUUUCUCUACCUGCAGAAAGCUUAGCAGAAUCUGUCAAACUGUUGUGCCAGCUGCAGAGCCAUACCAGAAAGACAGGAGAAGAUGAAUGAUUUUGUUGAUGCUUAACCAACACUCCUUCUGUACCAAGCUAAAGCUAGUGUAGGAUAUCUUUAUGUUUGCUGACUUCUGGAAAAUUAUGUUCAAAACACGAUAAGAACCUGGUAAGAACUGUUGUAGAAAUCUUGGGUAAUGCAUGGAGAAUGCCGUCAGUCAUAAACAAGUGUCCUAUAUAGACAGGCUUGCAUUCAUUUGAAACAGACCUACAGUCUUAUUAUUACCUACAGUGGGUUAUUUGACAUCUCAGACCCUAACACGGUGUAACUAUAUAGUAUUAUACCAGUAAAUUUUCUUGUGUGGACAAGUCCUUUUGUACCAUAUUUGGAUACCUAAGUAGCUGCAGCAGCAAAAAAUGCUCUCUGCCAUCUGCAGCUGGCCAAAAGAUUGUACCUGAUCUAAAUGAAUGCAGAUUUGGCUACAAUGAUCACACAAGUGUGAUAUCUAGCUGGGACUGUUUCGAGUCUCUUUAUUAAGGAAGCAAGUCUCCUGCCUUGAGGAAGCUCUAGCAGCCAUCUACUCAGCAACACAGGCUACCAGGAACACAUCAUCCCACAAAGCCACUCUCUGUACAGAUUGAACACAAAAUCCAGUUCAAGGUUGCUCUCCUAGUUUUCAGACUCCUAGCUGGAAUGGGUCCAUCUCUCCCCCUGUAAUCAUAACCUCCCACAUCAGCUGCAUUCCACUGUAACAGUGUUACUGUUGACAAAUAGGGUUAGCCUGUGGGAGUUAGGAAGUGAACCAGAAAUAUGGAACCAUGUUGCAUUCAGAUCUUAAUAAUAUAAAACUUCUCAUUCACUUCAGCCAGCUUUCCCACAAUAAUACCCUCAGUCUCACAGAUACAUUCAUUUCAAAACAGCAAAAACCCUAAACUCUCUUCCCUUUAAUAAUAUCCUUAUUUCACUAAUUCUCCAAUCAUAAUGUCUUCCAGGCUAGGCAGGAACUGAAUUUUUAAUAUAAACAAAGCUUUCUUCUGAAAAUACCUUUCAUCAUAAACAAGCAAAAAAUGUGUGGAAGGCCUUUUUCACCCCCAUUUUCAGAGACACCUUUAAAAGCAGAUAGAGAUGAAGAGACAUAUAGACCUGGUCUUCACUAGAAAAAAAUGUUUGUUAACAUGUUAAAAUCCUAGAGUAGACAAGACAAGUAUUUUUAACACAUAUGAGGUGGUGAGUUAAACCUGAGGAUCCUCACUAGGGUUAAAGAAUUAAUACAAAUCUAUGCUAGGGUAUUAACGUGUAACAUGUUAGCAAACACACCUUUUUCUUUGUGAAGACAUGGCCUAUAAAGGUGUGUUCAAAGCUAAUAUGCAUCAGCAGUUAAAAUAAGUGAUUUCAAUCACAACGACUAAGUUUGUAUUCUGUCUCCCUGAGCAGCAGCUGCUGAAAGAAAGAAAAACAAGAUGGAAACAGUUGUCUCUGCUCUGAUUGUUGUUUAUGUCCUGGAUGAAGGAAGAAGAGCUCUGGGAAUUCAACUGAGACAUAUGUAUCAGAGGUUAUCUGGAUUACUAGUGUGUUAUUUUUAUAAAGGUCCAGAGAAAGCUAUUAUGCUGGCCAUGACAUCCUGGGAGUGAACAAAGAUUCUUUUGCAGGAAUGUAAACUACCUCAUCAGAGGCCAUCUAGUUGAACACAUCCUUUUGUUACCUCAGAGCACAGAAUAAAUUACUUCCCUAAUGAUAAAAAAUAGCAGAGUGGCAAGGCCAUUAAGCAAAGCCAUUGUUUCACAUGUAUCUCAUGGAAACAAAGUACUAAAACCCCCCACCCUCCUCAAUAUAUAUGAUGACUGAAUACAUAUGGGAAAGGCACUGCUAUUAAAAUACUGUAAUGCAAAUCAGUAGAAGAAAAACAGGACACUUUUGCCUCACCUACAAUGGGCAUUUAAUCAAAUUAGCUGAACUGAUUUUAAAUGGCUUAAAAGAGGUUAACAGUUUUAACGUGGAUUGACUGAACAAUUUAGCCUGGGCUAGACUGAAUCUAUCUAUCUAAGGUAUUUAUCUGGUCCCCAUCACUACAGUAUCUGAAUACCUCACAAUCUUGAAUGUAUUUAUCCUCACAAUACUCCUGUGAGGUAUGUAAGUAUUAUUUUUACAGAGGGGAAACUGAGGCACGGAGCUCAAGUGAAUUGCCCAAGGUUACAGAGGAAGUCUGUGGUGGAGCAGGGAAUCCAACCUUCUUGCUAGCACCUUAUCCUCUCUAAACCCAAUUUAAACUUUUAAAUAUUUAAACAGUUAAAACAUUUUCAGCUAACUCAAAGGCUCAGUGUAGUCAGGAUCUGAAGAAGGAGUGAUCUAUGGAAGUCUAGGAGAAAACAGAAUUAUAACCAUAGAAAGUAAGAUUAAAAGAGGAACCAAUUACAAUUGGAGAAAAUAUCACUUUGGAGAGUGAAGGAAAUGAUUGUCUCUAGUCCAAUUUAGCAAUUCAGGGAACUGAUGAUUCAGAGUCUUUCAUCUCUAGUUUACCAAUUAACAUAUAACCCAGGGUUGUAGUUAGAGACAGUUGUUACCAUCUUACGUUGGGCAGACUAUGCAAUGAAUUUUGAUGGUCUCAGUGCAGUUCUAUGUCACAGGAGUGAGUGUAGCAUCAUUUGGAAUUUUGUUGGUACUUGUAGCCUAAGCAGUGUGACACACCCAGACCAGUGGGAUACAGGUAGAGGGAUGAGUAGUUACUGGUCACUGGAUGAGUAGUUUUCUAUUCCCUGAGUGACCAGAGCAGGGGCUGCACUAGAGUAAUCAGGAACUUGCUAGAACCAGUUAAGGCAGGCAGGCUAAUUAGGACACCUGGAGCCAAUUAAGAAGCAGCUGCUAGAAUCAAUUAAGGCAGGCUGAUCAGGGCACCUGGGUUUUAAAAAGGAGCUCACUUCAGUUUGGGGUGUGAGUGUGAGGAGCUGGGAGCAAGAGGUGCAAGGAGCUGAGAGGGUGUGCUGUUGGAGGACUGAGGAACACAAGUGUUAUCAGACAGGAGGAGGAAGGUCCUGUGGUGAGAAUAAAGAAGGUGUUUGGAGGAGGCCAUGGAGAAGUAGCCCAGGGAGUUGUAGCUGUCAUGCAGCUGUUACAGGAGGCACUAUAGACAGCUGCAGUCCACAGGGCCCUGGGCUGGAACCUGGAGUAGAGGGCGGGCCUGAGUUCCCCCCAAACCUCCCAAUUGACCUGGACUGUGGGUUGUCCCAGAGGGGAAGGUCUCUGGGCUGUUCCCCAACCCACAUGGUGAAUCUCUGAGACAAGAAAAUCCGCCAAUAAGUGCAGGGCCUACCAAGAUAGAGGAGGAACUUUCCCACAGCUGUGGGGAAAUAGAACAGGGGGACCUUCUUUUUAAUAGGCAGAGCUUUAAAUCUGAAGGCCCCGAAAUAAACCCUCCAACAGAGAUCUGUUAUGCUGACUGCCUUUACACAGAGUAGUACAGGCCUAAGACUGAACAACCCGGUUCUCUACCAAAUUUGGUCAAGGGUAAUGACCGGGGGGGGGGGGGGGGUGAAAAA